RNAcentral lists this ribosomal RNA (514 nucleotides) under uncultured bacterium. Its description in RNAcentral is "partial 16S ribosomal RNA". It matches the Rfam family "Bacterial small subunit ribosomal RNA", at positions 28 to 523 of the family's 1533-position model. The record is from RNAcentral.
GAUGAACGCUGGCGGCGUGCCUAAUACAUGCAAGUCGAGCGAACAGAUGAGAAGCUUGCUUCUCUGAUGUUAGCGGCGGACGGGUGAGUAACACGUGGGUAACCUACCUAUAAGACUGGGAUAACUCCGGGAAACCGGGGCUAAUACCGGCUAAUAUUUUGAAGCGCAUGGUUCAAUAGUGAAAGACGGUUUCGGCUGUCACUUAUAGAUGGACCAGCGCCGUAUUAGCUAGUUGGUCAGGUAACGGCAUACCAAGGCGACGAUACGUAGCCGACCUGAGAGGGUGAUCGGCCACACUGGAACUGAGACACGGUCCAGACUCCUACGGGAGGCAGCAGUAGGGAAUCUUCCGCAAUGGGCGAAAGCCUGACGGAGCAACGCCGCGUGAGUGAUGAAGGUCUUCGGAUCGUAAAACUCUGUUGUUAGGGAAGAACAAAUUUGUUAGUAACUGAACAAGUCUUGACGGUACCUAACCAGAAAGCCACGGCUAACUACGUGCCAGCCGCCGCAGUAA